This 1031-nucleotide ribosomal RNA is filed under the name Roseodiscus rhodoleucus. Its description in RNAcentral is "SSU rRNA". It matches the Rfam family "Eukaryotic small subunit ribosomal RNA", at positions 67 to 1107 of the family's 1831-position model. Lineage: Eukaryota; Fungi; Ascomycota; Leotiomycetes; Helotiales. The record is from RNAcentral.
UAGCAUCUAUACCGUGAAACUGCGAAUGGCUCAUUAAAUCAGUUAUCGUUUAUUUGAUAGUACCUUACUACUUGGAUAACCGUGGUAAUUCUAGAGCUAAUACAUGCUAAAAACCCCGACUUCGGAAGGGGUGUAUUUAUUAGAUAAAAAACCAAUGCCCUUCGGGGCUCCUUGGUGAUUCAUAAUAACUUAACGAAUCGCAUGGCCUUGUGCCGGCGAUGGUUCAUUCAAAUUUCUGCCCUAUCAACUUUCGAUGGUAAUGUAGUGGAUUACCAUGGUUUCAACGGGUAACGGGGAAUUAGGGUUCUAUUCCGGAGAGGGAGCCUGAGAAACGGCUACCACAUCCAAGGAAGGCAGCAGGCGCGCAAAUUACCCAAUCCCGACACGGGGAGGUAGUGACAAUAAAUACUGAUACAGGGCUCUUUUGGGUCUUGUAAUUGGAAUGAGUACAAUUUAAAUCCCUUAACGAGGAACAAUUGGAGGGCAAGUCUGGUGCCAGCAGCCGCGGUAAUUCCAGCUCCAAUAGCGUAUAUUAAAGUUGUUGCAGUUAAAAAGCUCGUAGUUGAACCUUGGGCCUGGCUGGCCGGUCCGCCUCACCGCGUGCACUGGUCCGGCCGGGUCUUUCCUUCUGGGGAGCCGCAUGCCCUUCACUGGGUGUGUCGGGGAACCAGGACUUUUACUUUGAAAAAAUUAGAGUGUUCAAAGCAGGCCUAUGCUCGAAUACAUUAGCAUGGAAUAAUAGAAUAGGACGUGUGGUUCUAUUUUGUUGGUUUCUAGGACCGCCGUAAUGAUUAAUAGGGAUAGUCGGGGGCAUCAGUAUUCAAUUGUCAGAGGUGAAAUUCUUGGAUUUAUUGAAGACUAACUACUGCGAAAGCAUUUGCCAAGGAUGUUUUCAUUAAUCAGUGAACGAAAGUUAGGGGAUCGAAGACGAUCAGAUACCGUCGUAGUCUUAACCAUAAACUAUGCCGACUAGGGAUCGGGCGAUGUUAUCUUUUUGACUCGCUCGGCACCUUACGAGAAAUCAAAGUCUU